GGCAGUAUAGCUGAGUGGUAAAGCGCAUCAUUCAUACCGAUGUGAUCAUGAGUUCGAUCCUCAUUACUGCCA
Molecule: transfer RNA, 72 nt
Filed under: Synechococcus phage B23
Lineage: Duplodnaviria; Heunggongvirae; Uroviricota; Caudoviricetes; Pantevenvirales; Kyanoviridae
Also listed under: 1 other name
Description: tRNA-Met
Rfam family: tRNA
About the family: Transfer RNA (tRNA) molecules are approximately 80 nucleotides in length. Their secondary structure includes four short double-helical elements and three loops (D, anti-codon, and T loops).
Source: RNAcentral